CCUGAUGACCAUAGCAAGUCGUACCACCCCUUCCCAUCCCGAACAGGACCGUGAAACGACUCCGCGCCAAUGAUAGUGCUGCAACCAGUGUGAAAGUAGGUCAUCGUAGCUU
RNAcentral lists this ribosomal RNA (112 nucleotides) under Neoundibacterium piscinae. Lineage: Bacteria; Pseudomonadati; Pseudomonadota; Betaproteobacteria; Burkholderiales; Oxalobacteraceae. The record is from RNAcentral.